AACUCUGGACCCGCUCUCAUAC
This 22-nucleotide microRNA is filed under the name Eisenia fetida (common brandling worm). RNAcentral describes it as "Efe-Mir-2690-P2_5p* (star (passenger))". Lineage: Eukaryota; Metazoa; Annelida; Clitellata; Crassiclitellata; Lumbricidae. The record is from RNAcentral.